Molecule: ribosomal RNA, 376 nt
Filed under: uncultured bacterium
Lineage: Bacteria
Description: bacterial SSU rRNA
Rfam family: Bacterial small subunit ribosomal RNA
Source: RNAcentral
GAUGAACGCUAGCUACAGGCUUAACACAUGCAAGUCGAGGGGCAGCACAGUGUAGCAAUACACGGGUGGCGACCGGCGCACGGGUGCGUAACGCGUAUCCAACCUUCCCGGUUACUCUGGGGAUAGCCUUCCGAAAGGGAGAUUAAUACCGGAUGGUGUUCAAAUGUCGCAUGUUAUUUGAACUAAAGAUUUAUCGGUAACGGAUGGGGAUGCGUACCAUUAGAUAGUAGGCGGGGUAACGGCCCACCUAGUCUACGAUGGUUAGGGGUUCUGAGAGGAAGGUCCCCCACACUGGAACUGAGACACGGUCCAGACUCCUACGGGAGGCAGCAGUGAGGAAUAUUGGUCAAUGGCCGUAAGGCUGAACCAGCCAAGU